This is a regulatory RNA element of Listeria grayi DSM 20601, 102 nucleotides long. It matches the Rfam family "Purine riboswitch aptamer". From Rfam's summary of the family: Riboswitches are metabolite binding domains within certain messenger RNAs that serve as precision sensors for their corresponding targets. Allosteric rearrangement of mRNA structure is mediated by ligand binding, and this results in modulation of gene expression. The record is from Rfam. NCBI's taxonomy places the organism in Bacteria, Bacillati, Bacillota, Bacilli, Caryophanales, Listeriaceae.
UUUUAUUACGUAUCGAACACUUAUAUAAUUGCCAUAAUAGGGAUGGCGCGUUUCUACCCGGUUACCGUAAAUGACUGGACUAUAAGUGAGAUAGAAGUUGAC